Molecule: non-coding RNA, 1865 nt
Organism: Dermacentor albipictus
Lineage: Eukaryota; Metazoa; Arthropoda; Arachnida; Ixodida; Ixodidae
Source: RefSeq, a predicted model, not a curated record
UGAGCGUGCGUCUGGCGGCAAUUCUAUCUCCGAAAGUGAUCAUCGCAGAAUACGUCCCUUUUCCUACGUGCGAGGGUGCGUGAGCGGCCUGGCACACCGCGUUUUGGCGGUCACGUGAGCUGUACGAGCAUGUAAACGCAACAGCAAGAGCGGGCAGUCAAGCCGGGAAUUCUUGACUGCACGGCUUGAAUGCUUGAAUGCUUGACUUGAUGCGCGCUCUAGUCCAGCGCACCAUGUGCUUUGAAGGUCGCGUAGUCUGCCUCGUUUCGGCGGUUUGGCACAGCGAAACGGCAAAAAGAAAAGGGAGCGGCAGCGUGGAACGUCCGCGCUCGGAGAUGCACGUACUCUCCCGGCUACCGGCGCUCCUCAUCAAGCCACCGUUGGGACCACUUUCCGGAGUCUCUUUGCCAGAUCGUUUCAAGGAGUGCCAAGGAAGCUCAAUACGUGUUGUGGAGUAGGAGGUUCUCGGACGUUGCUGCCCUCUGCCGGAGCGUCGUCGUCAUGUCGGCAUGGUCGUGGCCAUCCCUGGCGAGCAAGAGAAAGGGAGAGACAACAGGAGGCAAGCAGAAGAGAACGAAAUGACACUGCAAAGGGACUGCCAUCAUGAUAUUGCACAGCGUAUUUAUAAUAAAGUGCGAAGAUAUCCUACCCAGCGAAAACCGUAAGGGUAGUCCACAUUUCAGAAGCUCUGGGGCUCAAGGUGGAUGGGAGCGUUAACAGGUGAACAGUAGUGAUACGAGAACCUUACUGUGUUAGCCUAAAACAGCUCCGGAAGAUAAGUACGCAGUUGCCAGAGGCUUAGGUAUCAUCUGGAGGUAAAGUAAGGAUAUGGAGGAUCUUAUCGAGUGCGCUAUGGUAAAACAUGCCAGUAGCUCACAUAGGCUAAAGUGACUGCUUGGAGCCGCCACGAAUCGCAAGAAAUGUGUUACAAAUACAUCUGUUGCAUCAGCUAGCUUUGAUUCAUUGGUUCAUGAUGCUAUUUGUAUUUCCCUUCAUCUGUUUAUCCUGUCACGUGCUUUUGUUACAUGCCCACUCGCCCUUUCGUAAAUUCUACUCUGAAUGUUAAUUUUUGCAUCUAUGCCUGUUAUUACUCCGUCGCAUUGUUUACGCUAACUGUGAUGGGGUCCGCCACCUGUGACUGGCCUUGACAUCUCCAUUACUUACGCCAGCUCCAUCUCUCUCCCUUUUACCUCGUCCAUAAUUCUUCCGUCAUUCGCGAUUUCUCGUGUGUAUUUCCUGCUGAACAUCCCUGGCUUCUCUCUGGUACUCUUCGUUUCCUUUCGCGACACUAUCAUUCUUCUUGAAUUUCUACUCCCGACGGGACACCCCACGUCAUCUUCGAUGCGGGUACGCCCAUCUUGCCAACACUAGCAUGCCUUCUACGACGCACGAGAUGUGGUAGAGCAAGGGGCAUCUCUCAUCAUUUUUCUCAAUGGCACCGGACCCUAUGUAUGCUUCGGAACCACUUUCAUCAAAUCUCGUACGAUGCGGACUAUUCAUCGGACAACUACCAGGCAUCCAUCCGUCCACUUUCCGACACACAUUAAGCCUACCACUCCUUGGACCUUAUUACGCGUUAUACAGGGUAUUGUUUAACUGCAUAAAUACAGGGUAUAGUUUAGCUGCACAAAAGCUUUAAAAGUUGCAGAUGGCGGCUAGCACAGCUGUAGCCCUUGAUCUAAAUUAAUCGAUUAGGUGGCCAUUACUUCUUCUAAAAAAAUGCCUAAUUGAGUAAGUACUAUACUUUGGAUAAUUAUUUUUAUAUAAUUACUUUUCUGCACAUAUUUCCACAUAUCACUUGCAGCCGGUUGAGUGCUCAAGAGAUAUUUACACGCAAAUAUCUUUAUCUUUCUUAGUCACUGCUU